AGUGAACGCUGGCGGUAGGCCUAACACAUGCAAGUCGAGCGGCAGCACAGUAAGAGCUUGCUCUUACGGGUGGCGAGUGGCGGACGGGUGAGGAAUACAUCGGAAUCUACUUUUUCGUGGGGGAUAACGUAGGGAAACUUACGCUAAUACCGCAUACGACCUACGGGUGAAAGCAGGGGAUCUUCGGACCUUGCGCGAUUGAAUGAGCCGAUGUCGGAUUAGCUAGUUGGCGGGGUAAAGGCCCACCAAGGCGACGAUCCGUAGCUGGUCUGAGAGGAUGAUCAGCCACACUGGAACUGAGACACGGUCCAGACUCCUACGGGAGGCAGCAGUGGGGAAUAUUGGACAAUGGGCGCAAGCCUGAUCCAGCCAUACCGCGUGGGUGAAGAAGGCCUUCGGGUUGUAAAGCCCUUUUGUUGGGAAAGAAAAGCAGCAGGUUAAUACCCCGCUGUUCUGACGGUACCCAAAGAAUAAGCACCGGCUGACUUCGUG
RNAcentral lists this ribosomal RNA (492 nucleotides) under uncultured bacterium. Its description in RNAcentral is "partial 16S ribosomal RNA". It matches the Rfam family "Bacterial small subunit ribosomal RNA", at positions 29 to 507 of the family's 1533-position model. The record is from RNAcentral.